This 235-nucleotide ribosomal RNA is filed under the name uncultured bacterium. RNAcentral describes it as "partial 16S ribosomal RNA". It matches the Rfam family "Bacterial small subunit ribosomal RNA", at positions 99 to 334 of the family's 1533-position model. The record is from RNAcentral.
CGAACGGGUGAGUAACGCGUAGAUAAUCUACCCUACAGUCUGGGACAACCUUUCGAAAGAGAGGCUAAUACCGGAUGAUAUCUUUUUUUCGAAUGAUAAAAGAUUAAAAGCUCCGGCGCUGAAGGAUGAGUCUGCGUCCCAUUAGCUAGUUGGUGGGGUAAUAGCCUACCAAGGCAACGAUGGGUAGCGGGUCUGAGAGGACGAUCCGUCACACUGGCACUGAGAUACGGGCCAG